UGGGAACGUGCCCUUUAGUACGGAAUAGCCAUUGGAAACGAUGAUUAAUACCGUAUACGCCCUCCGGGGGAAAGAUUUAUCGCUAUCGGAUAAGCCCGCGUCGGAUUAGCUAGUUGGUGAGGUAAUGGCUCACCAAGGCCACGAUCAGUAGCUGGUUUGAGAGAACGAUCAGCCACACUGGGACUGAGACACGGCCCAGACUCCUCCGGGAGGCAGCAGUGAGGAAUUUUCCGCAAUGGGCGAAAGCCUGACGGAGCAAUACCGCGUGAGGGAUGAAGGAUUUUGGUCUGUAAACCUCUUUUCUCAAGAGAGAAGUUCUGACGGUACUUGAGGAAUAAGCAUCGGCUAACUCCGUGCCAGCAGCCGCGGUAAUACGGGGGAUGCAAGCGUUAUCCGGAAUCAUUGGGCGUAAAGCGCCUGUAGGUUGUUUAAUAAGUCUGUUGUUAAAGACUAGGGCUUAACCCUAGAAAAGCAAUGGAAACUACUAGACUAGAGUAUGGCAGGGGUAGAGGGAAUUUCUAGUGUAGCGGUGAAAUGCGUAGAUAUUAGAAAGAACACCGGUGGCGAAGGCGCUCUACUGGACCAUUACUGACACUCAGAGGCGAAAGCUAGGGUAGCAAAAGGGAUUAGAUACCCCUGUAGUCCUGGCCGUAAACGAUGAACACUAGGUGUCGGG
RNAcentral lists this ribosomal RNA (676 nucleotides) under uncultured bacterium. Its description in RNAcentral is "bacterial SSU rRNA". It matches the Rfam family "Bacterial small subunit ribosomal RNA", at positions 118 to 827 of the family's 1533-position model. The record is from RNAcentral.